CAUAGAACUUUUCUAAGUCAGUCAUUCUGAAUAUCUAGAUAUAGAAGUUAAGCUUAUGUUGAAGUACGGCUGAACUCCACAUAGAAGACAUUUAUUUGAUUACAGUGUUGGUCGACCUGAAUGCACUAUGUUAAAAUCAGCUGUUGUCAGUACUUUUUUACAGGUUAUAUUUCUAUUAUUAUUAUUUACUGACUAUAACUUUUCUAUACCUGCUUGAAAUAUUUCUAGUGAUAUUUGCAGACCGUCUUUCUUGUUACGGUUAAUUUUUAAUUCUAGUUCUGAGUAGUCGUCAGAUCUCAGUAGACCAUGUCAAAGCGACUCUGUCCUUUUACCGAAAACGUGCACCCCAUUAAAAAGCAGGAGAUUAAUAUGGGAGGAAAAGGCCGCAGAAUUAUGUCUCCGUCGUCUGAGAGAGCAUUACAACUGUUGUUUAUAGGGGCUUCCAAUCAUUUCAGCGCCAAAUUGGCGAAAGAUAGUACUGAAACUAGGAAAUCAUCAUCUCACUCAAUAAUUUGUAGUCAGUGUACCAAAGUGGGAGAGUGUGAUGUAAAAUGCUGUUAUUGUGACAAACUGCUAUGCUGUGAUUGCUGUGAAAAUUGUGAGAAAUGCGACCAACAAUUUUGUACAAAGUGUGCCUUUAAUCUUACCGACAAAGGUUACAGCAUAUGCUACUCUUGCUAUUAAAUGUUUCAAUGUCUGAUAACUAAAAGGCAAAUGUUAAAAGCUAUAGCUAUUCACGCAUAUGUUUGCAUUUGUGUGACUGGGGUUGUUUUUAUAAAUAGUGGAAAGUUUUAUGAGUUGUUCGAAUAUAAUCUGCAUAUCUGCAACCUUUUUUUUUUAUUUGUUAUUCCGAUUUGGGACAGGGUUUAGUUAUAACUUGAUUGACAACAAAACAUUGAUUUAUUUCCUUAGGAAAACUGUAGAGCGUUAAGAAAAAACUGCCAAAAUACAAUAUUUUGGCAUUAACACCCUUAUUAUUGCUGAAAUCGUUCGUGAAAAGUUUUGAUUAUGAUGUUAUGUUAUGUUAUGACAUGAUUAUGUUAUGUUAUUGUUUGAUAAAUGUUCAUUCAAAUCAGCUACUUAAAGCGUUUUAAAGCUAUUUAACUGAACUCCCUGCAUCUUGGAAAUGAAACGCGUCCAAACCCAUAUUUAUAUUCAAUUUUCUCAAAUUCAAAUAUUUCAAGAUUCCCUUUUUUUAACUUCAAACCUACAUCGGCAACUAUUGUAUAUAGGGUGUCCCAAUGUUUUUUGUGAUUUUUUCUGACGAUCUGCGCUAACAGGAAAUUUCGUAUUCUUUAAAACUGAAAAUGAAAUAUUUUUUGAAAUAGAAUCUACGAUUAAUUAACACAUAAUUGUAGAAUCUAUUUCUGGGGGUCAUUUACAGAGUAGAUCCCCGUAAACAUGUGGCUAACUGUGACAACUAAUGUUGUCUAAGCAUUAUUGUAAUUACAUCAACGAUUUGUUUCAAAUAAUAUAAAAACGUAAAAAAUUGUGA
Molecule: long non-coding RNA, 1495 nt
Organism: Dendroctonus ponderosae (mountain pine beetle)
Lineage: Eukaryota; Metazoa; Arthropoda; Insecta; Coleoptera; Curculionidae
Exons: 2
Source: RefSeq, a predicted model, not a curated record